AUUUGCUGAGAGUUAUGAAGAUCAAACCAGUUAUUUAUCAACAAAAUUGCUUCUGAACACUAAAUAUAAACAAUUAUUAUAAUGUUAGUGCACCCGUGUCUCCAUAGUAUUGCAUUGCUUUAGCAACGGUCCUGGAAAGAAGUUGGGCCGCGGUUUUAACUUUUUGACGUUGAACUCCACUGACAUUUAAAUGAAACUCUGUCACUUUUAACCAUGUUAAAUCCAUGAUCAAUGAUGUUGUUUCUUAUCAAUUUCAAUAAAUGUGGUACAUCAGCAAAGACAUGGACGUUUUUUCCAGUGUUUGGAUGUAAAAAACUACUAUUUGUAUGGGUAACUUUCAAUGAAUUCCACAAAGAAAUUAUUGAAGCAGUCAUUGGUGUGUCAUAAGAAUAAAAUACUGGCUGCUUCCAAGAUUUGAAGAGUCCUCUAACCAUGACCACUUGCACAGUUUGAUGUGGUCCUAAAACUUGAUCAAUUGCUUUAUCAUAGCAUACAUCAUGU
Molecule: long non-coding RNA, 501 nt
Organism: Metopolophium dirhodum (rose-grain aphid)
Lineage: Eukaryota; Metazoa; Arthropoda; Insecta; Hemiptera; Aphididae
Exons: 4
Source: RefSeq, a predicted model, not a curated record